Molecule: long non-coding RNA, 1224 nt
Organism: Oncorhynchus tshawytscha (Chinook salmon)
Lineage: Eukaryota; Metazoa; Chordata; Actinopteri; Salmoniformes; Salmonidae
Source: Ensembl
UAAGAACAUAGGCCAAAUGAUUGGUUGAACUAACACAUAAGGAGGUGCUUUGGGCAGAGCAAAAUGUUAUUGGAGACCGAGACGGAAGAGGAAGCCAGACAUCCCACUCCCUCAUUUCUUUCUGGUUCAAUGGAAGUCCGUGAACUAAGCAGACCAGACGCAGCUGCUAUCACAUUGGUGUCUUUGGGAGAGUCCCCCACGCCCGAUUAAGCAGAACGGAACUGACCAUUAUUUUCAAUGGGAAACGGCCUGAGUGAAUUAUCUUGAUUUAUUCACCAUCUUUGUUAGAAAUACAUGAACCACUGGUGUUCUGUAUUGCACAUAGAGAAUUAUAGCAGCCUCAAGAUGGAUAAAACCCAUUUGUGCAUGGAUAUUGCCAUUGAAAGCUUCCACCAUUUUGAAGUAGUCAACUGGGUGGGAGUUCCUAUGGGUUAAGGAAGGGUCACAUGAUUCCAUCCAGGUCAUCAGGAUCAGCCAAUGAAUUAUAGUCAGCCCAUGAGUAAUAGUCAACUGGGUGGGACUUCCUAUUGGUUAAGGAAGGAUCACAUGAUUCCAUCCAGGUCAUCAGGAUCAGCCAAUGAAUGAUACUCAUGAGGAAACAUUCCAUAACAGCAGGUGGCAGUAAAUCACCAACCUUGGCUUUACACCUGUUCCAACAACACCCUCCAGGGGGCAGUGUGCACCCUUUCAGUUUGUUUACCAACUCAUAGAAGUAGUAGAAGAAGAAAAUGGACUACUUCAAAAUGGAGAUUUAAAAAAAAAACAUUUAUUUAACCAGGCAAGUCAGUUAAGAACAAAUUCUUAUUUUCAAUGACAGCCUAGGAACAGUGGGUUAACUGCUUGUUCAGGGGCAGAAGGACAGAUUUUGUACCUUGUCAGCUCAGGGAUUUGAACUUGCAACCUUUCGGUUACUAGUCCAAUGCUCUAACCACUAGGCUACCCUGCCGCCCCAAGAGAUGGGCUCAUGGCGCUACGCAAAGCACUCCCAGACGCCCUAAUGGGACAGAUGCACAGAGGACUCCUCUAAUCUCUAUGACAGGGGUUCUUCAACUUUUUCAGCCUGGGACCCAAAUGAGAAAUUCUGUGUUGUCCUGGGACUCAAGCUUAUGAAAACAUCAGUACAUUUAAUUUCCCUUGUACCUAAAACGAAUACAAUAUAGACAAAUAACGAUGAAAUUAAAUACCCAUAUAAAUAGCUAUUCAUGCAAGAGUGUUUUUAAUGGG